Molecule: ribosomal RNA, 305 nt
Filed under: uncultured bacterium
Lineage: Bacteria
Description: bacterial SSU rRNA
Rfam family: Bacterial small subunit ribosomal RNA
Source: RNAcentral
ACCUACGGGGGGCAGCAGUGAGGAAUAUUGGUCAAUGGUCGGGAGACUGAACCAGCCAAGCCGCGUGAGGGAUGAAGGUACAGAGUAUCGUAAACCUCUUUUGUCAGGGAACAAAGGCGGAGACGUGUCCCCGGACGAGUGUACCUGAAGAAAAAGCAUCGGCUAACUCCGUGCCAGCAGCCGCGGUAAUACGGAGGAUGCGAGCGUUAUCCGGAUUUAUUGGGUUUAAAGGGUGCGCAGGCGAUCUGUUAAGUCAGCGGUCAAAGCACGGGGCUCAACCCCGGCCCGCCGUUGAAACUGGCAGU